GUGCUCAUUUUGGCAGCACAUACACUAAAGUUGCAAUGAUACAGAGAAGAUUGGUAUGGCAUCUAGGCAAGGAUGACAUGCAAAGUGGUGAAGUGUUCCUUUAUUUA
This is a small nuclear RNA of Chlorocebus sabaeus (green monkey), 107 nucleotides long. The record is from Rfam. Lineage: Eukaryota; Metazoa; Chordata; Mammalia; Primates; Cercopithecidae.